This is a long non-coding RNA of Leptinotarsa decemlineata (Colorado potato beetle), 346 nucleotides long. RefSeq lists it as uncharacterized. The record is from RefSeq and is a predicted model, not a curated record. Lineage: Eukaryota; Metazoa; Arthropoda; Insecta; Coleoptera; Chrysomelidae.
AAAAAAUAGAAAACUUCAAUAACAUGAGGAUUGGUUGGUUCAGUUCAAAGUGCAAAGUUAGAGGUAUUCUGAGCAGCUCUAAACUGAAUACAUUUGAUGAAAAUUUCACCAGGACAGUUUUCAACCACUGAAAUGUAUAUUUCGUCUAGGAUCUUCCACAGCAAUCAAGAUAUUUUUCGGAAUUUCUUUCCCGGAGAAGUAACCUACAACGAGUUACGCAAAUAUGUAGUAUGUGUUACAUCGGGUUUUUAUCGGAAGUUUAAGAUGAAAAAGUAAAGUUAACAAAACAUUGCUUCAUAUAUAAUAGUUUUGGAUAUCAAUAAAUGGUGAAUUUUACUAGUUUGGA